This is a transfer RNA of Ovis aries (sheep), 72 nucleotides long. It matches the Rfam family "tRNA". From Rfam's summary of the family: Transfer RNA (tRNA) molecules are approximately 80 nucleotides in length. Their secondary structure includes four short double-helical elements and three loops (D, anti-codon, and T loops). The record is from Rfam. NCBI's taxonomy places the organism in Eukaryota, Metazoa, Chordata, Mammalia, Artiodactyla, Bovidae.
UUCCUGGUGGCUCAGAUGGUAGAGCAUCUACCUGCAAUGCAGGAGACCCGGGUUCGAUUCCUGGGUAGGGAA